UCUACCCUGUUCAAGAUCUCAACUAUGGUACGUGGAUAUUCACUGCAAGGCCAUCAACAAAGAGUUUGAACACCUGUAUACCAAUAUUUCUACCUAUCACCUGUGUAACCUUUGCUGUGUUCAUCAGACAGAUGAGGAACCACUUGAUAUAAUUAUACCAUUCACAACACAGGCUACUACAGAAUCACAAUGCGAAAGCUCAGAUGUACCCAAUAUUCAAGAAAGCUAGGAAGAUGACAGGACUUCUUGCCCUGUCCUUGGUAGCAGCUGACAAUGGAACCGACAGCAACAAACC
Molecule: long non-coding RNA, 295 nt
Organism: Saccostrea cuccullata (small rock oyster)
Lineage: Eukaryota; Metazoa; Mollusca; Bivalvia; Ostreida; Ostreidae
Exons: 3
Source: RefSeq, a predicted model, not a curated record